CAACCCUCAAGCGCAGCUUGGUAUUGAGCCCGUGCCGGCGACGGCAGGCUCCAAAGACAGUGGCGGCGCCGCUGGGCCCUGAACGUAGUCAUCUCUCUCGUUACAGGCGCUCGGCGCGCUUCUGCCCAAACCCCAACUUUCU
RNAcentral lists this unclassified non-coding RNA (142 nucleotides) under Monilinia jezoensis. RNAcentral describes it as "ITS 2". The record is from RNAcentral. Lineage: Eukaryota; Fungi; Ascomycota; Leotiomycetes; Helotiales; Sclerotiniaceae.